GAUGAACGCUGGCGGCGUGCCUAAUACAUGCAAGUCGAGCGAACAGAUGAGGAGCUUGCUCCUCUGACGUUAGCGGCGGACGGGUGAGUAACACGUGGAUAACCUACCUAUAAGACUGGGAUAACUUCGGGAAACCGGAGCUAAUACCGGAUAAUAUAUUGAACCGCAUGGUUCAAUAGUGAAAGACGGUUUUGCUGUCACUUAUAGAUGGAUCCGCGCCGCAUUAGCUAGUUGGUAAGGUAACGGCUUACCAAGGCAACGAUGCGUAGCCGACCUGAGAGGGUGAUCGGCCACACUGGAACUGAGACACGGUCCAGACUCCUACGGGAGGCAGCAGUAGGGAAUCGUGCGCAAUGGGCGAAAGCCUGACGGAGCAACGCCGCGUGAGUGAUGAAGGUCUUCGGAUCGUAAAACUCUGUUAUUAGGGAAGAACAAAUGUGUAAGUAACUAUGCACGUCUUGACGGUACCUAAUCAGAAAGCCACGGCUAACUACGUG
Molecule: ribosomal RNA, 497 nt
Filed under: uncultured bacterium
Lineage: Bacteria
Description: partial 16S ribosomal RNA
Rfam family: Bacterial small subunit ribosomal RNA
Source: RNAcentral